Molecule: ribosomal RNA, 1259 nt
Filed under: metagenome
Description: bacterial LSU rRNA
Rfam family: Bacterial large subunit ribosomal RNA
Source: RNAcentral
CCUAGGCUAAUACAACCCGUACCGUAAGCCGACACAGGUAGUCGAGAUGAGUAUUCUAAGGCGCUCGGGUGAGCCGUGGAGAAGGAACUAGGCAAAUUUUGGCUGUAACUUCGGGAUAAAGCCAUCCCGCCGUAAGGCGGGACUCAGUGAAAAGGUUCAACCAACUGUUUAGCAAAAACACAGGGCCCUGCGAAAUCGAAAGAUGAAGUAUAGAGCCUGAUACCUGCCCGGUGCCGGAAGGUUAAGGGAGCUUGUCAGCCGCAAGGUGAAGCUUGCGACCGAAGCCCCGGUAAACGGCGGCCGUAACUAUAACGGUCCUAAGGUAGCGAAAUUCCUUGUCGGGUAAGUUCCGACCUGCACGAAUGGUCUAAUGAGUUGAACACUGUCUCCUCCACGAGCCCGGUGAAAUUGUAGUAUCGGUGAAGAUGCCGGUUACCCGCCACGGGACGGAAAGACCCCGUGAACCUUCACUACAACUUUGCAUUGAUUUUGAGUAACAGAUGUGUAGCAUAGUUGGGAGACAUUGAAGCAGUGGCGCCAGCCAUUGUGGAGUCAACGUUGAAAUACCAACCUUCUGUUACUUAGAGUCUAAUCCCGAGAGGGAGACAUUGCAUGGUGGGUAGUUUGACUGGGGUGGUCGCCUCCUAAAAAGUAACGGAGGCUCGCAAAGGUACCCUCAGUACGGUUGGUAAUCGUACGAAGAGCGCAUUAGUAAAAGGGUGCUUGACUGUGAGGCAAACAAGCCGAUCAGGUGCGAAAGCAGGCUAAAGUGAUCCGGUGGUUCUGUAUGGAAGGGCCAUCGCUCAAAGGAUAAAAGGUACUCCGGGAUAACAGGCUGAUCUCCCCCAAGAGCUCAUAUCGACGGGGAGGUUUGGCACCUCGAUGUCGGUUCGUCACAUCCUGGGGCUGGAGAAGGUCCCAAGGGUUCGGCUGUUCGCCGAUUAAAGUGGCACGUGAACUGGGUUCAGAACGUCGCAAGACAGUUCGGUCCCUAUCUGUGGUGGGCGUUAGUAAAUUGCGUGGACAUGAUCUUAGUACGAGAGGACCGGAUCGUAUGUACCGCUGGUGUAUCUGUUGUGCCGCCAGGUGCAGUGCAGAGUAGCUAUGUACAGCCAGGAUAAGCGCUGAAAGCAUCUAAGCGCGAAACCUUCCACAAGAUGAGUUUACUUUUAAGGGCCGUCAGAGACUAUGACGUUGAUAGGCUACAGGUGUAAAGGUGGUAACAUCACAGCCGAGUAGUACUAAUUGCCCGUAAGCUC